UUUCGAAAACCACGUACGCCGCCGCCGACAGACAGCCACUGAGGCCUCGUAACCCUUACUACCGGUAACACGAUUCACUGCGAACGGGAAUUACACUUUGCACCGGCGUCGACUAUCCGGGAUCGUACGUGCCAACAAAAUGGACGCGCCUCCAGCUUCCACGGGAUCGGAAGAAUGCGCAAGGCCACCAAGAGUCCCCCCAGUGUCCCUGCCGUGGCACUGAUCCACGCUCAUUGGCCUUUUCGAACCUGAGUUUGCGCGUUACACUUCCCGACACCAGACCAAAUGAAAGAAUACGGAUAAAUGCGCAUAGGCUGUGACACGGACGGAAAUUGAAUACCCGACUGUGUCAGCGAAAUAAAUGAGACGAGUGCCAAAAGCCUCGUCGCGUUCCCUUCCCAUGAAAAAAAGAAGAAAUGCUGAUGCUUAUUGGAACGUCUUCAGAGAGGAGUAAUUUUUUGCUGGCGGCCAUCCGGAAAAAUGCAUCCCAAGAGGGAUUACGUAAGCAACGUACCCGCAUAAAUUGCGCUAAACCGCAUGUACGUUUCUCUCGAGAAAUUAUUGUCGUCGAUCAUACGUCACGUGAAACUCUUUUGUGAGAUAGACAUUUUAAUAACUAUCUUUUAUCUGUAAUAUACGACAAUUCUAUGAUUCGCAAAAUCUAUUAUUGACACGCGGAAACGUGUUUGAAGGAAGGAGGAAAUGGACAAUGUUGAUUACGCAAUAUUGUUUGAAGUAAUAAAGAUAGAUAGCACAUAUGUCACGGUAAUUGAAAUUCAAUUAACGACAGCUGAAUUCACGCAACGAUUCAACUCCAACGGAUGACUUUUUAUCACGGACGUUCGACCGGUAUCUCGUUCUUUUAAGUAGACCCGAGGAAAGCGAAAAUGCGUUACGAGCUGAAACCGGUUCGAUUCGAUCGAAGUAGUAAUCGGGAAUGAUAAUGCGAUCGACACGUAAUUUGACGUUACCAAGCCGUGCCAAUAACACGUGGAUUUUCGUUAAAAACAACGUUCUCAGGUCUCGGAAUAAUUCAGCGAAUCGAGACGAAUCAAGGACGAUUUUAACAGGCGUACGAAAGAGUCCCACGAAAAAUUUACGUUGAUAUUCAAUGCCGGCGUGGAUACAAGGAAACGGAACCGCAUGCGAACUGUACGUCAAGGAUACGAGUUCGACACGAGCGUGCUUCAUCGCCUGAAACUUAUCGAUAUUCUGUAGGUGUUCACGCCACGCACACGAGUGCAAUCAGCUGUACAGUGUACACAGAGUACAACCGUACCCGACUUAUCUUUUGUCUGUCCAAUACGGGACAUUUUUACUUACGACAGCUACAGGUUUAUAAACAGUCGUUUCGUACGCUACGCGGGUUUUUUCUAGAGAACAUACCGAUUUCGAGAACAAAAUUUAUAUCGGCAAGGUGAGAGCCAAGUAUGAAAACGGAUCUUCGUUGAUUCUGGAUCGAAUUUCGAGGUCGGAAGACUUAAGAAACACUAUAUAAUAUGAAUAAAAGAUUUUGUAAAUGCGAACGCAUAGAACGCGUUCCGGAAGGCUUGAGAUACAUUCUACAUAAAUACAUACAUGAUUCUGUAAGUGCGAACGCACAGGACAAUCGCUCCGAUAAUAAUACCAUUCGAUGAAGAUAAACUGUUUUAAAUCGUACGUGUUUCUCUAUCGGUUUUGCAUCAUUGAAACUGUGAUAGCAAAAACUGCAGAAAAACAGAUCAUACGAUUUCGCAUGCAUUAACCAGACGUCAUCGAUUAAAGAUAUUUCUCUGACGUUAACAGGAUAAUCAGAGAACGUGAGUUUCUUUAAUGACUUUAACUUAACGAAACGAAAGAACGUCCAGUAUACACGUAUACGUAUUUAAAUACUAAACAUUUUUGCCUGCUACGUCCUAUCACAACAAUUCGUAUCUGGUUAGCCACCCACUGAUAUCGAACUCGAUAUAAGUACGUACAAUUUUCGCGAAUUCACUACAGAAGGGUCAGAUAAGGCGUUAGUUAUCUGAAUCUUUUACACACACCCUGGUGAACGGUGGGACCUUGUCCCCGAGUCUCGUUCCUCUUCACACGAUGCGACCAAAGCAACAACAACGCACCCUUAAAGCGGAACCAACGAGAUUCUAACGUUCUGCUCGUCGUUCUUUUUUGAUUCACAAGGAAUGAAAUGGUAACUCGUUUCUUUCACGCUAACGAGGAGGAUAUUGCUGUCGACGGUUGUAUACUUAGAA
This is a long non-coding RNA of Ceratina calcarata, 2231 nucleotides long. RefSeq lists it as uncharacterized. The record is from RefSeq and is a predicted model, not a curated record. Lineage: Eukaryota; Metazoa; Arthropoda; Insecta; Hymenoptera; Apidae. The transcript has 3 exons.